CCAGACUCCUACGGGAGGCAGCAGUGAGGAAUAUUGGUCAAUGGCCGAGAGGCUGAACCAGCCAAGUCGCGUGAGGGAAGACGGCCCUACGGGUUGUAAACCUCUUUUGUCGGGGAGCAAAGCGAGUCACGUGUGACUCAUUGAGAGUACCCGAAGAAAAAGCAUCGGCUAACUCCGUGCCAGCAGCCGCGGUAAUACGGAGGAUGCGAGCGUUAUCCGGAUUUAUUGGGUUUAAAGGGUGCGUAGGCGGACGCUUAAGUCAGCGGUAAAAUUGCGGGGCUCAACCUCGUCGAGCCGUUGAAACUGGGUGCCUUGAGUGGGCGAGAAGUACGCGGAAUGCGUGGUGUAGCGGUGAAAUGCAUAGAUAUCACGCAGAACUCCGAUUGCGAAGGCAGCGUACCGGCGCCCAACUGACGCUGAAGCACGAAGGCGUGGGUAUCGAACAGGAUUAGAUACCCUAGUAC
RNAcentral lists this ribosomal RNA (464 nucleotides) under uncultured bacterium. RNAcentral describes it as "bacterial SSU rRNA". It matches the Rfam family "Bacterial small subunit ribosomal RNA", at positions 331 to 793 of the family's 1533-position model. The record is from RNAcentral.